UCUCUCCAGCCCGAAUAGAGGAGGACCGGUCUUCGGUCAAGGGUAUACGAGUAGCUGCGCUCCCCUGCUAGAACCUCCAAACAAGCUCUCAAUUGCUUUUGAUCAUGUUUUAUCACAGC
Molecule: small RNA, 119 nt
Filed under: Microtus ochrogaster (prairie vole)
Lineage: Eukaryota; Metazoa; Chordata; Mammalia; Rodentia; Cricetidae
Description: 7SK RNA (ENSMOCG00000006205.1)
Rfam family: 7SK RNA
About the family: 7SK was discovered as an abundant small nuclear RNA in the mid-70s but a possible function has only recently been suggested.
Source: RNAcentral